UGGAGGACACUUCCGCUUCCUGUGUGGCGCAGAGACAGUCAGGCAGCGGCACAGGAAAGGCCGCCCUCUGCAGGGGAGCCCCCUUCCUCGCCGGGGCCCUGGAGUCAGCCUGGCCCUCCCUCCGUCCCUCCGCUCCCCAUCGCCGGCGGUGGUUGCUCGCUCGCUCGCUCGCCCGCCCGCCCUUCGGAGGGCCAGGGGCUGAGCGUGGCAGCGCCGUCUUCCUGGCCUUUGCCCGUCCUUCUCCGGGGCGGGCGCCCUAGUCCCUGGAGCGGCAGAAAACAAGCUCGCGCUCUCUGCAAUAGGAGACCCCUUCAGAUGUUUAAAGGUGGCUGCUGCCUCUCCAGGUUAAACAGACUCAACAUGGGGCAUUUCUCCAUUUUGGGGGCCCUCCUCUGGGCACGCUCCAUCUUCUCAAACAGCAUGGACAGACUUCAGUGACAGAGCAGGGGAUCCUGAGAGUUCCAUCAGAGGCUAGAAUCCUGCUCCUCAGACUGCUGGCUGCCUUGUCUCUCUGGACUUCUUGACCUUGGAUUUGUCUACAUGUCUCAUCACUCUCUGGAACCCUGGACUUCGGAUCUCUGACUACUCUCUGGGUUUAUGCUCUUGGACUCUCUUGCUUGCUUUGCUGGACUGAUUUAAGUUCUGGACAUUUAGAACUGUGUGCUGUUAUCAGCCUUCUUGGACAAUACUAUUUUUUAAAAGUCUGUGGUCUUUUUGCUUUUCGUAUUCAUUGAUAAUUGUUAAAAUUUGGAUGAUUCCUAUAUCUACAGUUGAAACAGUUCUACUGGUAUGCCAUCUGUUCCUGGUGACUAAGUACUUGGAGAGAUACAUCUACUUCACUAUCUAAAAUUAUGGAUUUGUAGGAAUCAGUCAUCCCCUUCAUUUGUUUUGUACAGUUCUUCAGUUUAUUUCUUCCACUUUUUCAUUUUGUCCUGAUCAUAUAAUGUGCUUGCUCCAUAUUGAUGAUUCAGCAUUUUAAAUUGCCUUGAUUUCUCAAAUCUCUUGGAAAAGUUAUCUUUUAAUACCUCUUUUGUUGUCUUCGUCUAUUUUCACUGAUUAGUGUAACAGUAACUAUAAGUUGAUUAGCAUUUCAAAGAGGUUCAUCUGGCUCCGCAAAUGGUGCCGCCAAACAACUGUCUCUGCAGAUGGUGCUGCUGAGAAUGAUUGUUAGCAUUCUUUAGAUUCGUAGAUCAUGGCUUCAGGAAAGGAGACUGGCAACAGAUGGGUUGCAUCUUACACCAGUUGAAAGAAACAUUUUUGCCAAUACAGUAGUCUCAAAAAUUUGAUCAGGAGGGCUUUAAACUGAGUUAUGUGAGGGAGGGAGAUCAUAUUUUGGAAGGCAGGAGUUCAUCAAGGGCUGGAGAUAAUAGUCAAACUGUUAUAGAGAGAACAAGGAAAAUAGCACAGGGACCCAACAAUGGG
This is a long non-coding RNA of Sceloporus undulatus (fence lizard), 1422 nucleotides long. RefSeq lists it as uncharacterized. The record is from RefSeq and is a predicted model, not a curated record. The transcript is spliced from 3 exons. Lineage: Eukaryota; Metazoa; Chordata; Lepidosauria; Squamata; Phrynosomatidae.